RNAcentral lists this long non-coding RNA (2725 nucleotides) under Triticum aestivum (bread wheat). RNAcentral's name for it is "long non-coding RNA (TAES_LNC016095)". The stretch from base 1718 to 1840 matches the Rfam family "MIR1120/MIR1122 microRNA precursor family". The record is from RNAcentral. Lineage: Eukaryota; Viridiplantae; Streptophyta; Magnoliopsida; Poales; Poaceae.
GAUAAGAUUCGAUGUCUCUGUGCUCACUGUGCUAGUCACUGGAUCAAUAGCUAGCACACACGGUACAAGAUGAAAUAUCAAGAUAAAACCACAUGUCAUAAUAUUACAUCAUAGAUUCAGAAUUAAAAUAUUACAUACCUGCAUAGCUCAAUCUAGCAUACAACAAAAUAUAGCGGAAAAGAAAAUAAAAUAUCCAUGAAGUCCAUCAACACCAUAGACAAAUGUCGAGUAUAGACACCGUAACCCUACAUCGUAUCACUUACUGUCGAAUAAAAUCUGCAACAUGAAACAUUGCAGCCACGAAGGGUCAAUACUUUGAAUGUAUUGGCAAGUCACACAGGAAUUAUAUAACAGACCUACAUGUAUAUGCAAGGUAUAUCAAGAGGAUAUUGUAGUGGUUGUUUUGCAGAAAGCUAGUUUUUCCCUGAUAACUACAUAAUAUAAUAGUCAAAUUUUAAUUAUUUCUUGCUACAAUUAAAUACAUAUGGUUGAAUGGGCAAUCUAAUUCCAACCGCCCAUUAUUAAGUAUCCCAUCAAGUUUUAUUAUCUGUAUCAUCUGUCGAGAUCAUCCAACAACUGUAAUGGCAUAGUGGCUAAAAUUUGUCCAUAACCGGGGACACGGCUAAUCAUAAUUAGUUUUAAUACUCUUUAGAGUUUAGUACGCUUUACCCACUGGAUCCAAUCCAAAGAUUGAGACGAAGUCUUUCAGAAGAGGUUCCCUUAACCACCCGACGACCACAUCCCACCUACAUAUGCUACAUCUGUCAACACUGUCUAGGCAAGGGUUCCAACAACUGAUCAACUAACCCAAAGCCCAUAUAGCCAGUGGCCGCACAUGGAAGCUACUAGUCACCAAGUCUGUCUGAUCUUUUUGAACCUGGGCGGCAUUCCACUUAGGGUGCACUCUCAUGGGUGCAAGGCCUUAGAAAAGGUGAAAGACCCCAUGAUGCCUUCCCUCAACACCAAGCAAUACCACUUCCGCCCAGAGGUGAAUUGUAUUUUAAGUUAAUACACAAAUUAUUAUAUAUAAUCCUCACAUAAACUCAAUGUAUACAUGAACCAAUCCCCGUCUACAUAGCAUAGCAAGAAUACACUACCACGAUCUACAAUAAGGCCAUACUAGCUGCAUCUCAAUAGCAAAAGCAUACUACCAUAAUAUUCCUACACAUGCAUAAUGUGGUCUUGUGAUAUAGAACUACAUGCAUAAAAAAUGAUAAAGGAUGAUCAAGGUGUAACUGCCUGUAAGUUUGAUGAAGAUCGUCGCACUCAUAAUUCCUGACAGUUCUACUGGUCACGCUCCGAGCAAGCUAUCGCACAAGAAAGAAUCCAAAUAAACAACCAUGCCAUACAUACGAACCAAAGAACAGCAAAACAAAUAUGGCAAGGUUGAACAACAUCAAUAUAGCUGGGCUUAAUAUUAUAAUAUGGGUCUCGGUGGUGCUAUACAGUGAAAGGUGGAAGGAUCAACUCACAAGAGUUAAAUAGAAGAAUAGUUAUGCCAUAAACAAGAGUAUAGUGGAGAUAUAACAGAAUAGGUUCAGAAGUGAUUGGAGAACAACAUAAAUGUUGUAUGACAUAUUGAAUAUGACAUAAGAAUUCAUUUGUAAAAGAAUUGAUGGACUAGGGGAACACUACAAUGCUAAUUAUAGUGGAACGAAGUUAGAAUUGAAUUUGAAUUCAAAACAGUUCAAGAAUUAUUUGAAUAAUGAGUAUACAAGAAUUAUUCUCCGUCCGGAAAUACUUGUCAUUGAAAUGAAUGUAUUUAGAUGUAUUUUAGUUCUAGAUACAUUCAUUUUCAUCAAUUUUGAUGACAAGUAUUUCCGGACGGAGGGAGUAUUUGAUACAAAUGUUCAUAGGAAAAAGGAAUCAACUGGAUAUGGUAUACAAUUUUCAAGAUAUGUUCAACACAUGAUUUGAAAACAAAUUUGAAUUGAUCAAUUUGAAGAGUUUAGAAGUUGAAACUAUUGAUUCCAUUGGAUAGGUAAGAUCAAUAUGAACACAUAGGAAAAGUUUCAUUGAGUUUGGAUAUACAGAUUUCAAGAUAUAGCAGAACGAAGUUCGGUUUGAAAUAUUUGAAAAACUCUGUCGUGGCAGCGUUUUUGACAUGCUAAAAUUGCUGCCAUGGCAGCGAAUUGAGCUGCUGCCGCGGCUACUUUAGAUGUGGCCACGUGUCACGCUAGGGUUGGCCGAAGUGGAUUUGCGCGCGUGUGCUCACCGGAAGCAGGGGAAAACGGCGGCAGCUACGGGCGUAGGCCUCCGGUGGCUCUCCGGCGAAGAUGAGGUGGUGUGGAGGUGGUCCUGGCGGUCAUCGGGAACGUCGGGUUGAGGCAGGGCGAAACGGGGCGUCCUCUGUUGGCGAUGUAGUGAAGUUGGGGCUCCGGCGAGAUCGUUGGCUGAGGAGCUCGAACCAGAGGGUCUGCGAAGGGGAAGAAGUUCAGGGAGGGGAGGCGCAUCAAGAUGAAUCCUCUAACGAACAAAGGGGGUCAGGGGGUGGCUUACUGUCGCCGGAUUUGGCUGGAACAGGGAGCUCAGGCGGCGGAGCUUUCCGAGAUCCGUGCGGUUGACUUCGAGGGCGAACACCAGCGGCAAUUACGGGAAUCGGACGAGGGGAUCGAGGGGAUUCUCUCGGCGCCACAGAUUCGAUCGAGGGGGUUAGGGAUCGGGUGAAUCGCCCUUGCCUGGUUCGGUCGCGGUAGUGCGGGGAUACGAGUUCGACUGGAGGAAG